Molecule: long non-coding RNA, 569 nt
Filed under: Rattus norvegicus (Norway rat)
Lineage: Eukaryota; Metazoa; Chordata; Mammalia; Rodentia; Muridae
Description: long non-coding RNA NONRATT006109
Source: RNAcentral
GUCAGAAGGCCACCUCAAGAGGAACAUCGUGGUAAAGACGGUGGAGAUGCGGGAUGGCGAGGUGAGGAAACGUUCCAGUGGCCCCGGGGAGUUCUUGAGGCUGUACUGGAGAAAGCCUGGUACUAGCUCACUGAAGGUCCUUAUUAACUACCAGGAGAGCUCUGGUAGAAGGGAUGGGCCUUGAAUGUAAUUCUCCUUUUCCAGCUCUUUCAUGGGUGGCGUGCUAAGGGCAACCUGUAUAUGGAGGCCACCAUCUUUCUGGAACACUUGGUGGAGGGAGGCUUUCAAAUUUUACUCAGAAGAACUUUCCAUAGGGGAAUUGGAAGAGGGGCUAGACAUAGAAUGGCCGUCUUCAUUUGUUGGGAUGUUAGCAGCAAUGGUUGCCCUUACGUCAUAGUCCUCUACAAGUGGCAUUUCAUAUCUCAAUGUGUGAUGCAAUCACAGCGAUAGUCCUGGAAGACACAUCCAGGGCAGUCAGGGGCUCGCCUCGGGGAUGCUCAGCCUAGCAAACUGGAUCUGGGAUUCUGGAGCCCCUAACUCUGUGCUGUGCAUCUUCCCUCUCCCUGCAG